AUGCUUCACACCAGCACGGCCGGGAAAUCGUCGAAUUCGAAGUCCAGCCGGGAGGACCGGAUCAGCGACCUGCCGGACGACGUCCUGCACCAUGUCCUUGGCUUCCUGCGGGCCGAUCAGGCGGUGCGCACCUGCCUGCUCGCUCGCCGCUGGCGCCACCUUUGGAAAUCGAUGCGUUGUCUCCGCAUCAACGACAUGGGGAGCUGGAGGAAGAGCACCGACGUCUUUCGUAACAAGUUCAUCAGCUGCCUGCUGCUCCUCCGAGACCCUGGCUCGACACUAGACGAGGUCGAAAUCGAGUACAAUUAUUCGGAAGAAUAUCACCAUUCUAACAACGGUGGUCCUCCUUGGGUCGGCAUUUGGAUCCAACAUGCUUUGUCAAGCCGAGCUCAGGUGCUCACUGUCAAGCUCACUGAGAGGGCGUAUUUCUAUUUGUGUUUGUAUGGCCCUCUCAUAUCCCAGUAUUUGAGAAGAUUAGAGAUUUCUGAUGUGAGGUUGAAAAGCAGCUUCCUAGAUUUUUCAAGCUGUUCGGAAUUGGUGGAUCUAAACAUAAAAGACUGCACCUUAGAUGCUCGUAGGAUCUUGUCCCAGUCUUUAAAGCAUUUGAGCAUCAGUGGAUGUGCUUUCCCACCUAAUGGUAGCCGGAUUCGUAUUUCUGUACCAAAUCUCGUUUCGCUGCAACUCAUAAAAAUUGCAGGUUGCUGUGGUAAUGAUGGCCACAAUGAUGGUUGCAUACUUUUUGAAGGUCUUUCUCAUGCUAAAAACUUGGAGUUGAUACAAACUUAUCCACAAAUGUUUAUUUUCAGAAGGGAUUUGACAUGGUGCCCUAUAUUUAGUAAUCUAAAGACAUUGUUGAUGAACCAGUGGUGUGUGCAACCUGACUUCAGUGGACUAGUUUGUAUGCUUGAGCAUUCACCGGUUCUUGAGAAUCUGACACUUCAAUUGUGUAAGCAAGGAAUACGUAAAUGUGCAUCGGAAGUGGAAGAAAAUCCUGGUUUAUUGGAGAAACCACCUACUAUUUCAGGAUACCUGAAGAUUAUCAAAGUCAAAUGUGAAGGGAUUGAUGACAGGGUUUGCAAAGUUUUGAAGUUCUUGAGUACAUUUGGCAUAGAAAUUGCUAUUCAAAGGACUAAUGGAUAG
RNAcentral lists this ribosomal RNA (1140 nucleotides) under Triticum aestivum (bread wheat). Its description in RNAcentral is "partial small subunit ribosomal RNA". The record is from RNAcentral. Lineage: Eukaryota; Viridiplantae; Streptophyta; Magnoliopsida; Poales; Poaceae.